RNAcentral lists this long non-coding RNA (3728 nucleotides) under Homo sapiens (human). Its description in RNAcentral is "HSALNT0290913". Lineage: Eukaryota; Metazoa; Chordata; Mammalia; Primates; Hominidae. The record is from RNAcentral.
CCUGACCUCAGGGGCCCGGUGCCUGUACGGGUAGGAAGCGGGCAUCUCGCCAGCAGCCACCGAACCUGGAAUGGGUACUGCGAGGCAGACACAGCCUGCGACUUGGAGGAAACCAGGGCUGUCUAGAGAGCGCUCAUCCUGCACAAAAGUGCACGGGCUCAUCCGGCGGGUGCUAUAAAUCACCUCGCCUUAGCAGGCUGGGGACGGCAGGGCCUCUGGUUAUUAACUGUAAGUGAGUUGCAUUUCUUUACAAAGAUAAUCUGGUGGCAGGGAGUUCAGAGAUUUUUAUUACCCAGUGACAAACAUGAUAAUUAAUGCUGGGUAGCUUCAUAAAAGGCCACGGGAAAGAGGAAGAAAAACCUUAAUUUAGCUGGCCAAGCCCUCAAGUAGAGCCACUCUGGAAAAACAGAGUUUAAAUUUAGCAAAUUGAGAUAAAUGGAGUUCAAAGGAGCGGGAAAGAGAAGAAUUGAGUUGGAACACCCCCUCUCUGCCCUGGUGGCCUCUGCCUGCUGGACAGUGGGCCAGCCAAGGAGCAGGGCCUCACAGGCUGUGGCUGAACCAGAGGUCUCUCCACCCAGGGCCGUCCCAGGAGGAAGACGGGUUGCCCGAGGAACACUUCACCGCAGACGCAAGACAGAAAACACUUCGCUCCCAGGCUUUGAAAAUUAACAACAGGGAAACGUAAAGGCAUUUGAUAGAUUUAACAAAGAACAAACCAGUUCUGUGUUCUGAUUCACUUAAGCAGAGAGACAGAGAGAAGAAAGAAAAUGGGGGUGGACUGAAGGCGGGGCGGGGGGAAUGGGCAGAGUGUUUUCAACUCCUCAGCAGAAGAAGGGGGCAGACAGAGAGGGGAGAAGGAAAGUGGGCGGGGGGAAGAGGGACAGAAAGAGAGAACACGUCAACAGCUACCAUUUAUUGUGGGCCAGGAGCCUCAAUGUAUUAUUUAUAACUUAAUCUUCCUGGGCACCCUGCAAGGCAGGUGCUAUCGGCCCCAUUUCCCAGGUGGGAGAACGGCAACUGGGCCUAAAUGGCUCAUCCAAGACCAUCAAGCUGGUGAAAGGCAGAGCCUCACCUUCCACAGCUGCACAAAGUCAACCAGAGAGUGAAGACAGAGAUACGUAGAGAAAGAAAGACAAAUGUGAGGACCAAGGGACCAAAAGACAGGGCAAAGACAGAUGGGACCCAGGAAUGGGGGUCGAGAGGAGGCCAGCCACAUGGUACACUCGCCCUUCCGGCCCCCUCCAGCCCUGAUCCAGAAAUAAGUCCUGGCCCAGCAAGUGUUCCAGAGCGGACCAGCAUCUGCAAAAAUUGGAACAGACAAGAUGAAGCAUGUGCUUUGGGGAGGAGCUGGAAAGGGCUGGGGUGGGCUGGACUAUGCUCUGGUGUGGAGGGAAGAGAGAAGUGGCACCUCUCUCCUUCCUAGGUGCCCCACAGAAGAGAAGGGCUGGGCCAGGCCUGGCAUGUUGAGGAGGGGCAGGUCUGUUGCAGAGGAGGGGCCGGGGAGGCUGGAAGUCAUGGGUUGUCCUCUGCUCAGAGCCCUUCUCCAGCCCCGUCAUGGGCACGGCAGCUACGAGCACUGUCACCUCUCGGUGUGGCGCACCCUCCCCACCUCAUUCCCCACGCGGGGGCUCAGGCAUUCUCACAAGCCUGCUCCCGGUCCCUCCCCAUAGGGUGGCCACGGGGAUUAAGUGAAACAAGGCCAGGCACCAUCUGAAGCCCUCGGCGGCAGCACUCCCCUUGGGUGGUGGGCCCCCCUUGCCAUCGGGUGCCCGCCGGGUGUGCGAUGAGUGCCUGCGUACGGGUCUGCCUCCCUCACUAGCUCGUGGGCUCUUUGUGGGGAGGGAUUGCAUGCGACUCCCGCUCUGUGCCCAGUAACUACACGGCGCACAGAGAUGCCCAUGGAGUGCUGAGCAGGUGAAUGGAAGGGAGGCCUGGGCUCUGCCGGGAUGGGAGGCUUGGGCUGUGCCAGGAAGGGCCUGGAAUGCCAAGCCAAGGAGUUUAGCCACAAUCACGCGGUGGUGGAGUGUGUGCGUGACAAGGUCCAGGCUUCCUCUGGAGGGGCACGCAGGGGAGGGAGCCAGGUCAUUAGGGUCCGCGGUGUUGAGAUGCAGCUGCCUCUCAGGGGCACUUAUGUGGGCAUCUCACAUGUGAAAGUCCCACUGCUUUACAGCUUGUGUGUGUGUGUGUGUGUAUGUAUGUAUGGGGUGUGGGGUGAGUGUGUAUGUGUGGUGAAUGAAUGUGUGUGGUGUAUGUAGGUGUAUGGGGGCGUGUGUGUGUGCUGAGGGGUAUGGGUGUGUGGAUGUGUGUGUAGGGAGAGUGUGUGUGUGUCAAGGAGUGUGGUGUGUAGUGUAUGAGGGGACUAUGUGUAGUGUGUGGGGUGUGUGCAUGAGGCGAGUGUGUGUAAUGUGUGGGGUGUGUGUGUGGAAUGUGUGAGGGGAGUGUGUAGUGUGUGAAGGGAGUGUGUGGUGUGUGUGUGGGAGGGAGUGUGGGUGAUAGGUGUGUGUGUGGGAGUGUGGGUGGUGUGUAGUGUGUGUGGGAGUGUGGGUGGUGUGUAGUGUGUGUGCCUGAGGGGAGUGUGUAGUGUAUGUAUAUGUGAGGGGAGUGUGUGUAGUGUGGGGGUGUGUGUAGGGGAAGUGUGUGUGUGUAGUGUGUAAGGGGAGUGUGUAUGUGAGGAAAGUGUGUGUAAUAUGUGUGUGGUGUGUGUGAGGGGAGUGUGUGUAGGGAGAGUGUAUGUAAUGUGUGUGGUGUGUGUGAGGGGAGUGUGGAUAUGUGUGAGCGCAGUGUGUGUAAUGUGUGUAUGUGUGAGGGGAGUGUGGAUGUAUGUGAGGGGACUGUGGGUGUGUGAGGGGAGUGUAUGUAGGGGGAGUGUAUGUAGUGUGUGUGUGUUAAGGGAGCGUGGAUGUAUGUGAGGGGUGUGUGGGUCUGUGUGUGUGGGGGAGUGUGUAAUUGUGUGUGUGAGGGGAGUGUGGAUGUAUGUGAGGGGAGUGUGGGUGUGUGGGUCUGUGUGUGGGGGGAGUGUAUGUAAUGUGUGUGUGGUGUGUGUGAGGGGAGUGUGGAUGUAUGUGAGGGGAGUGUGGGUGUGUGGGUCUGUGUGGGGGAGUGUGUAAUGUGUGUGUGUGAGGGGAGUGUGGAUGUGUGUGAGGGGAGUGUGUAAUUGUGUGUGGUGUGUUUGAGGGGAGUGUGGAUGUAUGUGAGGGGAGUGUGUGUGGGGGGAGUGUAUGUAAUGUGUGUGUGUGGUGUGUGUGAGGGGAGUGUGGAUGUACGUGAAGGGAGUGUGUAAUGCGUGUGUGUGAGGGGAGUGUGGAUGUAUGUGAUGGGAGUGUGGGUGUGUGGGUCUGUGUGUGUGGGGGAGUGUAUGUAAUGUGUGUGUGGUGUGUGUGAGGGGAGUGUGGAUGUAUGUGAGGGGAGUGUGGGUGUGUGGGUCUGUGUGGGGGAGUGUGUAAUGUGUGUGUAUGAGGGGAGUGUGAAUGUAUGUGAGGGGAGUGUGUGGGGGGAGUGUAUGUAAUGUGUGUGUAGUGUGUGUGAGGGGAGUGUGGAUGUACGUGAGGGGAGUGUGUAAUGCGUGUGUGUUAGGGGAGUGUGGAUUAUGUGAGGGGAGUGUGGGUGUGUGGGUCUGUGUGUGUGAGGGGAGUGUGUAAUGUAUGUGUGAGGGGAGUGUGGAUGUAUGUAAGGAGAGUGUGGCUGUGUGGGUCUGUGUGUGGGGGGAGUGUGUAAUGUGUGUGUGUGAG